Molecule: ribosomal RNA, 614 nt
Filed under: uncultured Alphaproteobacteria bacterium
Lineage: Bacteria; Pseudomonadati; Pseudomonadota; Alphaproteobacteria
Description: bacterial SSU rRNA
Rfam family: Bacterial small subunit ribosomal RNA
Source: RNAcentral
AAGUCGAACGGCUCUACGGAGCAGUGGCGGACGGGUGAGUAACGCGUGGGAGCGUGCCCUUUGGUUCGGAACAACACAGGGAAACUUGUGCUAAUACCGGAUGUGCCCUUCGGGGGAAAGAUUUAUCGCCAUUGGAGCGGCCCGCGUUGGAUUAGGUAGUUGGUGGGGUAAUGGCCCACCAAGCCGACGAUCCAUAGCUGGUCUGAGAGGAUGAUCAGCCACACUGGGACUGAGACACGGCCCAGACUCCUACGGGAGGCAGCAGUGGGGAAUCUUGCGCAAUGGGCGAAAGCCUGACGCAGCCAUGCCGCGUGAAUGAUGAAGGUCUUAGGAUUGUAAAAUUCUUUCACCGGGGAAGAUAAUGACGGUACCCGGAGAAGAAGCCCCGGCUAACUUCGUGCCAGCAGCCGCGGUAAUACGAAGGGGGCUAGCGUUGCUCGGAAUUACUGGGCGUAAAGGGCGCGUAGGCGGACAGUUAAGUCAGAGGUGAAAGCCCAGGGCUCAACCUUGGAAUUGCCUUUGAUACUGGCUGUCUUGAGUUCGGGAGAGGUGAGUGGAAUGCCGAGUGUAGAGGUGAAAUUCGUAGAUAUUCGGCGGAACACCAGUGGCGAAGG